AUUAGAGUUUGAUCAUGGCUCAGAACGAACGCUGGUAGCGUGGAUUAGGCAUGCAAGUCGAACGGGAUCCGGAAGGCAGCAAUGUCGGCCGGUGAGAGUGGCGGAAGGGCGAGGAACACGUGGGCAACCUGCCCGGAGGACGGGGAAAACCGCUGGAAACGGCGGCUAAUACCCGAUGCGGCGCGAAGGGGACAUCCCCGUUGCGCCAAAGGGGGCCGCAAGGCUCCCGUCUCCGGAGGGGCCCGCGCACCAUCGGCUAGUCGGCGGGGUAACGGCCCACCGAGGCUUACGGUUAGCUGGUCUGAGAGGAUGGCCAGCCGCACUGGGACUGAGACACUGCCCAGACUCCUACGGGAGGCUGCAGUCGAGGAUCAUUCGCAAUGGGGGAAACCCUGACGAUGCGACGCUGCGUGGAGGACGACGGCCUUCGGGUUGUAAACUCCUGUCAUGCGGGAAAAGGAGAGGUCGCCGAACGGGCGUCCGAUUUGAUGGUACCGCAAGAGGAAGCGACGGCUAACUCUGUGCCAGCAGCCGCGGUAAUACAGAGGUCGCAAGCGUUGUUCGGAUUUACUGGGCGUAAAGGGCGCGUAGGCGGCGCGGCGUGUCGGAUGUGAAAGCCACGGGCUCAACCCGUGAAGUGCGUCCGAAACUGUCGCGCUAGAGUGCGGAAGAGGAGACUGGAAUGCAGGGUGUAGCGGUGAAAUGCGUUGAUAUCCUGCAGAACACCGGUGGCGAAGGCGGGUCUCUGGUACGCAACUGACGCUCAGGCGCGAAAGUCGGGGGAGCAAACAGGAUUAGAUACCCUGGUAGUCCCGACCUUAAACGGUGCACACUCGGGGUGGGGGGAUUCCAACCCCCUCCCGUCCCCAAGCAAACGCGUUAAGUGUGCCGCCUGGGGAGUACGGCCGCAAGGCUAAAACGGCCGCACACGUGCUACAAUGGCCGGUACAGAGGGACCCCAAGCCGCGAGGCGGAGGAAACCCCCCAGAGCCGGCCCCAGUUCGGAUCGGGGUCUGCAAUUCGACCCCGUGAAGUCGGAUUUGUUAGUAACGGCGCAUCAGCUACGGCGCCGUGAAUGCGUUCCCGGGCCUUGUACACACCGCCCGUCACAUCAUGAAAGCCGUCUGCACCCGAAGCCGGGCGUCUGUCCGUCUAAGGUGUGGGUGGUGAUUGGGAUGAAGUCGUAACAAGGUAACCAAU
This 1200-nucleotide ribosomal RNA is filed under the name uncultured bacterium. RNAcentral describes it as "bacterial SSU rRNA". It matches the Rfam family "Bacterial small subunit ribosomal RNA". The record is from RNAcentral.